RNAcentral lists this small RNA (2626 nucleotides) under Rattus norvegicus (Norway rat). RNAcentral describes it as "uncharacterized LOC102553697". The record is from RNAcentral. Lineage: Eukaryota; Metazoa; Chordata; Mammalia; Rodentia; Muridae.
AUAUGAAACUGUCAGCACCAUGUCUGCCUGCGUGCCGCCAUGCUUCCCGCCACGAUGACGCUGGACUGAACCUCUGAACUGGUUGUCUAUUUGGGAGUCUAAACUUGGAAUGUAAAAUUUGAAACAAGAGGAAAAAAUAUUAGUAAGUGAGAGAUGCUUCUUCUCAUGAUGUAUCUGGAUUUAAUCAUAUGCACACUCAAUUAUGCAUAAGCAUAGUAAGGUACUUAGAAGAAGAAGUUUACUUUAUGGUAUAUGUACUACAAACCAGACUAGGUUGUAUCAGCACAUUUCCCAUGGUUCCAAGUUUAUUAGAGGAAGUGCUGGGAAGGAAACAGAUAUUAACAGGAGGUUGCUAAGAAAGAUCUAUGUACUCAAGCCAAGUCAGCAUGGAAUGAAGACCUUCUCAAUGUUAACUUCAAAGCAACCAGAUUUCCAGAAGAAAAAUCUCUACAUUCUGUACGAAACUUCCUCAUUUCUGAAGCUUCCUGGGCACAAUUUUUCUCCUGUUGACAGGGCCCAGCCUGGACCACUCGAAGGCCAGCAGAGAACUUCUCAGUCAAGUCAGGUUGAGUCACAGCCCCACGUAAAGUCUGCUGAGGUCACUGUAGCAGAGCCAGAACAGUUGAAUUGUAUAAGCCACAGAAUUUUAUAUCAGCGCUACUGUGAGGGGAAGCCUAGAUCAAGUCUUACGCACUGAGAAAGGAUGUCAUAUCUGGGCAUUGCCCUUCUCCUUUAGGAGGGCCCGUGUGCCUUUUGUAGGCCCAGGACAUGAGGUCAGGAUGGGAAACGACACAAAAGGACGGCUAGCUGCAAGGCCUCAUGGGAGAAGGAGCAGCGUGAGGAGACCCGGAUGCAGAGCAGCUGUCUCCAGAGCAAUUACAAUUUAGAGGAGAUUGAGAGACCAGGAAAUGAAUCCAAAGGCCAGAAAAUCAAAGCGAAAAGGCAAUGACAUUUCCAGGAAGGACAACGAUACAAGAGGAAGAUUUGGAAUAUCCCAUGCAAAGAUCUCAGUACUCUGGUUGCCUGUUGCUAGUGUUUGGAUGGGGUUUAUGCCCCGAUGAUUUAUUCAUCGACUGCUUGGUUGUUAGUGUGACAAUACUAAGAAGCGACAGACCCUUAGGAGACAGAGCCCGCAGCAAGGUAAUUAGGCCAUCAGGGAACCGAUGCUGUUCUCAUGGAGUGAGUCCUUUCCAGGGAGGUUUGCUUUCUACCCUGCCCUGGGAUUUCUUCCUCUUGCACGUCCUUCUGCCGUGAUAUCAUCUACCAUAACGUGAUGCUGUAGGAGCUCUUGCCACAAUUAAUGCUGUGCUAUGUGGGCCAGGUCAAGCAUGGAGAGAGAAAGAAUUCAGUGCCAAAAGUUUGAUGAGCAGGGUUGACUACCAGUGGGAAAACGUAUCCAGGAACCAAGUCUCCAGAGGCAGAGGUACUGUGAAGUAAGGUUGCAGGACCUCGUUGGUAGAGACGCUUUCCAAAGACCUAUGCCAUACACUGAUGAUGUACCCAUAUGGCGACAUAGUAGACAACAUAGUUCCCCUUGACGUCUUAACUCAGGCGGUUAAAUUUCGUGCUGUCCUUCCAACUUCCCCUCCUUCCUCCUUGCCCGUGUUUCAGGAGGCCCCGAGCAUCCACAGACCUUUGAGGUAUCUAGCUGAGGGGAAUCUGAGUUGGGGAUACAUUUAGACUGACUAAACGGGAUAUUUUCUUAAAGUUCUGACUAGAGUACAUGCAUAGCCUAUCCCUUUGUAAGGGUGCCCUUGGGGGUAUGCAUGCUGACUGCUGAUUUGGCCAGCUUCCUGACAAGGAUUCAGGUCAUAGCAAGAUAAGAGUGAAUUCUUGGGACUGGAGAGAUUGCUCAGUGGGUAAAGCGCUUCCCGUACAAGCCUAAGGACCUAUACUCAGAUCCCCAGAACCCACAUAGGGCUCAAUAUGGUGCAUGUGUCUCUAAAUGUCAGCUCUCCACCAGAGACAGGAGAAGCCCUGGAAACUUGAGGGCCACCUACGCCGGAGCGGUCAGCAAUAAACGCCAAGAAAGCGAACGAGGUGGCCGACGAGAACCAACAUCCAAGGCUGACCUCCGACCUCUUCCACAUGCUUGUAGUAGGAAAUGCUCAUCUGCGUAUCUGUGUGCUCAGGCACACGCACACAGAUGUCUGAACAAACAAAAACAGGGAGAGAGAAUUUUCCAGAACAGUGGAGAAGAAAUAAGUUUUGACAUGCUGGGAUCCAGCCUCAUUUAGGAACAUUCUAUAUUACUCGAGGAAAACUAGAGGAUGCAGUUCAGUCCAGAAUUAAAGUUGUAUCCCAUCAGGAAUGAAUAUGCUAAAUGACAACAUAUUCAGGUUUAGUUCUCCUUGCGUGUUUUUUUUUCCUUUGGUGGCAAUUGUAUGAAACGAAAUUCCUGUGUCAUAGGCGCCAUCCUGAAGCAGGACUGAAAACAGCAUGUCAGUGUGUGAAGUUGGGAGUUUUUCCUUCAGCCUAAUUACCCACGAUAGGAAACACGUUCUAACACUGUGUGCUAGGAGAAGCAUUAAACUGUCUCCUUAAUCUACCCACAGAGAUAUUAUAAAGCUGUUGCUGUAUGAAGACGGGAUCAAAGUAGGCAGUCCAUUUUUUUUUAAAUGUAUUA